AUGAUUUUUUAUUAUUUGUGAACGUACUACGAAUUAACAAACAAUUAUUAUAGUCAAACAAAAUAAAUCA
RNAcentral lists this unclassified non-coding RNA (70 nucleotides) under soil metagenome. RNAcentral describes it as "partial internal transcribed spacer 1". The record is from RNAcentral.